GAUGAACGCUGGCGGCGUGCCUAAUACAUGCAAGUCGAGCGAACAGACGAGGAGCUUGCUCCUCUGACGUUAGCGGCGGACGGGUGAGUAACACGUGGAUAACCUACCUAUAAGACUGGGAUAACUUCGGGAAACCGUAGCUAAUACCGGAUAAUAUAUUGAACCGCAUGGUUCAAUAGUGAAAGACGGUUUUGCUGUCACUUAUAGAUGGAUCCGCGCUGCAUUAGCUAGUUGGUAAGGUAACGGCUUACCAAGGCAACGAUGCGUAGCCGACCUGAGAGGGUGAUCGGCCACACUGGAACUGAGCCACGGUCCAGACUCCUACGGGAGGCAGCAGUAGGGAAUCUUCCGCAAUGGGCGAAAGCCUGACGGAGCAACGCCGCGUGAGUGAUGAAGGUCUUCGGAUCGUAAAACUCUGUUAUUAGGGAAGAACAAAUGUGUAAGUAACUAUGCACGUCUUGACGGUACCUAAUCAGAAAGCCACGGCUAACUACGUG
Molecule: ribosomal RNA, 497 nt
Filed under: uncultured bacterium
Lineage: Bacteria
Description: partial 16S ribosomal RNA
Rfam family: Bacterial small subunit ribosomal RNA
Source: RNAcentral